UAUAAACUAGAAUCUUACUUUGUGUUUUAUCAUGUGUUUCUUUGAGGUUUCCGUUCAGCUCAAGCAAGCAGUUACAAAGAAAAGAAGAAGUAACGGUUUCUCCCACGAGCAAGGGGGGAGGGGGGAGGAAUUUACUCGGGCCGUCAAGGUUGCAGAAAAGUAUAGUGUUCGUAGCCAAUAGAAAAGAUAUACUCUAUCUUUCACCCCCCCUCCCACUUCUUCAUGUCGUAAAACCUAUGCUGUUUUCAGAAAUAAACCAGAGAU
Bufo bufo (common toad) is the source of this 264-nucleotide long non-coding RNA. RefSeq lists it as uncharacterized. The record is from RefSeq and is a predicted model, not a curated record. The transcript has 2 exons. NCBI's taxonomy places the organism in Eukaryota, Metazoa, Chordata, Amphibia, Anura, Bufonidae.